CACAUAUUUCAAAAGCCCAGAAUGUUAACUGUGCAUUGGGGAAGUAAUGAGACCUAGUUUUUCUAAAUGAAAAUUUAAGCCUCCUAGCCUAGCAGAAGUCUUGCCCAGAGUCCUGAGGCCAUUUGGAUGGAGAUUAUUCAUCCAUGCCUGCGAUCUCUGAAGAAACGUGGAGAAUAGAAAUAGUGCUGGACAGGUGUGGGGGGACAUGUGUGGAAAAGGGCUUCAAAGGACGGGUAUCUUUCAAUAUUUAGCGCUUGCAGAGUUUCCAGACUUGUUCUGAGGGCGCCCGCAGUAUAAAACUAGAGUCAGAGAAAGGACAUUAAAUGGGACCAGAUUUAAGUGUCUGGAGUUAAAGUGGGUUUCUUCCCCAGCUGCAGAGUAACCUGCACUUGGAAGGAUUCCAGUGUAAGAUGGAUGAGACCAUGGCCUGGAGAUGUCUCAGGCGGGAUGUUAACAUCAGGGGGCGAUAGGACCUUGAAGGGUUCCUCUGACCUGUUUCUAAAAGGGUGACUUUGCAUGUGUAAGACUAGGCCAGAGAAGUACUUGGAUCUUCGGCUUUCCUCAUUUCCGGGUUGGGAUACUCGGAUUCAGAGAGGCUAAGAGAGCUCUUGGUGACAGGCAGGCUAGGUGGCCCUCUGGGCUCUUCCCUGACGGCAGCUGUCAUGUAUACCAGGCUAUCCAGGGAGCCUCUAGGAGCAGGACAGGUUUGGGGCUGGGCUCACUGGGGUUCAAAUCCCAGCUCUGGCCUUUCAGUCAUCCUUCAGUAUCUGUGGGGGAUUAGUUCCUGGACCCCUUGCAGAUACUGACAUCCUUCCAUGAAUGGCAUAAUAUUCACGUAUAACUUAUGCGCAUCCUCACGGAUUCUUUAAAUCCUCUCUAAAGGAUUUUUUUUUUGGUAAACUUAGAAAACCUCAUACAAUGUAAAUGCUGUAACUUUCUGGAAAAUUUUUUGCUCUUUCUGUUUUGGCUCCCCACAGCCUAUGGAGUUCCCGGGCCAGGGAUCAGAUCCCAGCCACACAGUUGUGACCUGUGCUGCAGCUGCGGCGAUGCUUGCUGGAUCCUUAACUCACUGCACAGAACCCAUAUUCCUGUGCUUCAGAGACGUCGUCAAUCCCAUUGUGCCACAGCGGGAACUCCUGGGAAAAUUAUUUUUCCUCCCAAAUAUUUUUCAUCUGCGGUUGGUUGAAUCUACAGACGCGGAGCCCUCAGAGCCAGAGGGUCAGGUGUACUCUGUAACCUUCAUUCCUUUUUCCUCAAUUGAAGUAGUGGGAUUGUUGUGAGGAUUAGGCGAAAAGAAAGCACUUGACCUCUAAGAGGUACUGAGGAUCCAUUCUCUCUUCUUCAUGGUUAGGCUUGACAUCUUUAUGUUAUUAUUACUGAGAAGUUUUCCAAAGUCCUUCAACUCAUGCCUAAGAGGUUUCAUUUUUGCCUUGUUUUUCUCUUUGGAUGAUGUGAAAUUUUAAAAGGGCAUUAUUUAGAGUUUCUCUAUAUGUAAAAUCUUUACAUCUUCUAGGGCAUUUUGGAUGAAAGAUCCAACUACAGGGCUUUGAGCAAUUCUUACCCACUCUGAAAUUAUAUGAUUGAUUCCUUUUGAGAACGAUGCCUUCUAACUUUCCUCCUCCUCCAGUGAUGCCCAUGGCUCAUUGGUUACCAUGGUAACCACACUCUAAUAAUCUUGUCAGGAAAUACGACAUAACUAUCUAUCUAAUCUUAUUUUCCAGACCUAAAACAAGCACCCAGCUUCCUUCUAGAGGGUUCAGGGCCCAAGUGUUGCUCCUCCUUGUUCUGAUGUUUUAUAAAACUGUACGUACUUGCAGAAGAAUGUACAUCAUUGGGUGUUUCCUCAACUUAGAAUGUUUAUGGCCCUCAGCGGCCAGUAGGUCGCUGUGAAGGCUUAUGUGAUCUCAUGCUCAUUCUCCUAUUGUUGAGGAAAUUUGGGGGUAGUUUAAAAAAUGCAGAAUUGUGGUUUCUAGAGGAUUUACAUUUAUUUCUGGACAUAAAAGAGUCUAAGGUAAUUGCUAGGAUACAUAGAUCAAGUCAGUAUUUUCACGUUUUUCAGGAGAGACUAACUUGUACAAAACACGUCUCUCCUGGCUCAUGAGCCAGAGCAAGUCCGUACCUUCUCAGCAGCCUCCUACCCCUUCCUCAGCAUCCCCUAAUACCCCCAGGUCCCUGCUCCUGGCAAGACCCCUCCAUACUGCCAGCCUCUUCAUCACUUUCUGCCUUGACCAUCAGGACUAGGCUCACCACACCUCUUUAUCCUGUUUGUGUCAGUCACCAUAGCAAGCCUGGGCUCCCAAGGCAUCCCACAUCUCUCCUCCCUGUGUCCUGUCCUUAUUUGACUCUUUCUUUUUUAAUUUAAAUUUAAAUCUAGGAGUUCCUGUCGGUAAUGAAUCCGACUAGGAACCAUGAGGUUGCAGGUUUGAUCCCUGGCCUUGCUCAGUGGGUUAAAGAUCCAGUGUUGCCAUGAGCUGUUGUGUAGGUGGAAGAUGCGGGUGACUUGGAUCCCACGUUGCUGUGGCCAUGGCGUAGGCUGGCAGCUGUAGCUCCGAUUUGACCCUUAGCCUGGGAAUCUCCAUGUGCCACGGGUGUGGCCCUAAAAAGCAAAAAUAAAGAAAAAAAAUUUAUUAUAGUGGAUUUACAGUGUUUUAUUUUCUGCUAUACAGCAAAGUGACCCAGUUAUACAUUCAUUUUCUUAUGUUAUCUUCUCUCAUGUUCCAUUGCAAGUGAUUGGAUAUAGUGCCCUGUGCUAUACAGCAGGAUCUCAUUGCUUAUCCACUCCAAAUGCAGUAGUUUGCACCUACUAGCCCCAAACUCCCUGUCCCAUCCACUCCUUCCCCCUCCCUCUUGGCAACCACAAGUCUUUUCUCUGGGUCCCCCAGUUUGUUUCUUUUCUGUAGAUAGGAUUAGAUUAGAGACCACAUAUAAGUGAUGCCAUACGGUAUUUGUCUUUCUCUUUGUGACUUGCUUCGUUUAGUAUGAGAGUCUCUAGUUCCAUCCAUGUUGCUGCAAAUGGCAUUAUUUUGUUCUUUUUGUAUGGCUGAGUCAUCAUUUGACUCUUCAUUUGAGUUUUCAAACUGUUGUCUCUCCCUCUGGAGCCUCAUCCCUGUCCACUCUGUGCCCUUGGGGCCAGUCAUCAGCCAGCCCCCAGCUUCCUGACCUUGUCUUUGAACAUGUCCUUCUCCUUCUUGCUUUUCUGGAAAUGGGUCUCCCCGGAUGAUACUGCUUCUCCUGCAGCCACCUGCAGUUUUUUUACUCUUACCCUUGAACCACAUUGAGGGGUGGGUUAGCAUCCUCUGUGCAGUUGUCGUGCUGUAUCCCCUCCUCCAGAAGGCCUCCCGCUCUGUGUCUCGGGCUGUCUCUGGCCCGCUGUCCCUCUCGGAGGUUACCUGCUCUGCCACCCAGGCACCCCCCCGCCCCCAACCCCUUCUCUGAAGAUGCCUGUUUCUGGUUCGCUGCCCCUCUCUCCAACACUGCUCUUGCUGGUUCUCCCAAAUCUCAGCAUUCACGCCGGUCAUCUUCCCAACCUUCGGCCCUCGGUUUCCCAACCUCAUCCCCUGUGAGUGUCUCCCCCGCCUUCCUCAGUAGCGCCACUCCGAGGUCAUGCCCUUGACCCUGACAUCGCCUCAGUUGCCUCCAUAGCUCCCUCUGGCCAUCCCUGUCUGACUCCCACUCCUCUCCUCCCGGCUGCCCUGGGUGGUACCUCCAGCUUCGACAGUCCUUGGACCUCCAGGUCCUUAGGUUCAUUGGCUCCACCACCUCUUCAUGGUUCCACCCUCACCCCAAGUCCUUCCUUCUCUCCUUCCCCAGCUUGAACCCCACUUCAGCCACUGUCAUUGCUGCCAUCUAUCCUCAUCGCCCUCACCCCUCUCACAAUGGAUCAUUCUUGCUUGACUAAGCCACAGCUCCAUUUACAUCCAUCUCUUGCUCUGCUCCAACUCUGUACUUGGACCUGUGCAGCCCGGUGUCCCAGGACAAAACCCCACCGCCGUAUGGAUCGUCUCUAAGUUGAUGGUCACAAAUGCCCAGUGGGCCCUUGACAUUGCCUGACAGUCAAGCCAUGUUUCCCCCCGUCUGUUUGUUCCCUCCCCCCUUAGACAACUAUCACAUACUUUAUACUUGCUCUUUAAAUAGCCAUUGUCUCCUUACUCUUAGCCACUGCCUUUUCUACUAAAAAAACUAGAAAUGGUCUGAAGAGAACUUCCCCAUGCCCACCCCCCUCACCUACCAUCUGCUCCUGAGCCCCGGAUCCUUGGGCACAGCAUCCAACUCCCAUCUCCUGAUACCUUCUCAAGGACAUUGCUCCAUAAAAUUUCCCCUUUCCUUCCUGUAUCAGUUUUCUGCUCUCUCCUGAAUUCCUACUGGCGUGUAACUUAUUAUUUUCCCCAUUAAAUAAGAACAUCCUGUCUUGACUCUGAUUUCCCCUGCAGCUACUGGCCAGUUUCUUCUCUCAGAACAUGUGGAAUGAGUCACCACCCCUCCCAUUCUGUCCUGAACCUGUUUCAGCAGGGUUUUUACCCCUCACUCUGAUGCCACCAGCUCUGCUCUUAUCAGGUCAUCGGCGACAUUUCCUUGCCCACGCCCACCGUGGGGUCCCAGCCACCUCGUAUUUCGCCUGCAGCAGCAUUUGACAUGGUCCAAGGGACUGCCUGGACCCACGCCUGGUUUUCCUUUGUUCUCUCCAGCUGGUCUUUCUUAGUCUUGGUCUCCUUUGCUGAUUGCUCAUCUCCCCAAACUCUUAAGUGGAGUGUUUCAGGGCACUUGUAUCUCGUCUCUAUUUCCGCUCAUACCUUAAAAACCAUCUAAGAUGAAGAUUUCCACAUUUUUAUCUGUAGCCUGGAUCUC
Molecule: long non-coding RNA, 4845 nt
Filed under: Sus scrofa (pig)
Lineage: Eukaryota; Metazoa; Chordata; Mammalia; Artiodactyla; Suidae
Description: lncRNA (ENSSSCG00040073617.1)
Source: RNAcentral